GUUUUCCCUGUGCAAGUGGUCCCUUGGGCUCCCUGUGGGGUCAGCUUCUGGGUGUCUUUGCCAGGGUCAGGAAGGCUGUUCUUCCAGGAAGGACUGCAAAGACCCUGGGAACCAGAGCAGCCCAGCUUACAAGUAUGAAGAGAAUGUCGGGAGAGGAAGUGGUGGCGAUGAGUCAGCCUGAGUCAUCUCGUUCCAAUGAGAAUGAAGGCAGAGUUUCAGACCAACGUUCCCAGCACGCUGCGCCUGAGCCAGUGUCUGCCUUCAGAACUUCACAGCACAGGUCCUGGAAGGUGGGGCUACCAGCUUCUCCCUGAAUAACUGGGAGAUGAAACAGGAAGCUCUAUGACACUCUUGAUCGAAAAUGACAGACAGAAAAAUCAGGACUCACCCCUUCCAGCGCCUCUGCCUGCUGAUCACAGCCAGAAUGCAGGUGAAGGGUUUUCCCUGGGACCUGGCCCUAGCUCCUGUGGACUCAAAGGACCUCCACAUUCUCUGAUGAUGUGUCUGCCAUGUCCUGGUUGUGGUCUGGUCUUGUCGGGUUCCCAUUUGUCUGGCCAGUGUUUAUGCAUCCUUAAUCGCUUCUUUUUCAUUAAAACAAAGGA
Tupaia belangeri chinensis (Chinese tree shrew) is the source of this 602-nucleotide long non-coding RNA. RefSeq lists it as uncharacterized. The record is from RefSeq and is a predicted model, not a curated record. The transcript is spliced from 3 exons. NCBI's taxonomy places the organism in Eukaryota, Metazoa, Chordata, Mammalia, Scandentia, Tupaiidae.